Molecule: long non-coding RNA, 1787 nt
Organism: Anneissia japonica
Lineage: Eukaryota; Metazoa; Echinodermata; Crinoidea; Comatulida; Comatulidae
Exons: 3
Source: RefSeq, a predicted model, not a curated record
AUGCCAAUAGAGAUACGCAAACAAGGAAUUAUUAACUAAUAGGGAGCGGUCUAAAGCCGAUGUAAAUUGUACAGUUCAAUUAAUGUAUGAUGUUAAUGUCUGUAUUUUUUUUAGAUGAAAGUCAAUUAUCUUGUUAAGAAUGUGUUACCGGUGCUGUGAUGGACUCUCUACAUCUUUUUGUGUCAAAUGUUAGCAUUAUCACAGCACAAUGGGUUGCUGAAGGCUUGAGACUGAGUUGUGCUGCGAAAAACACUAAGGACCGAUACAUUACCCGGAAAUAGGACGAGCAUCUGGCGAUUUACAAUAUUGACUGAUUGAUUAUGUUUUCUAAAUGUAUUUCACAAUAGAGAAAAUGGUAGAGUAAGAGUGGAAGUAAAAUGAAUGAAGUGGGAAAAGGCAUAUGAUGUACAGAAAUGUUUCAACAAGCAACAUUUGUAAUCAUACCAAGGAGGCGAUAGCGGUAGAAUGCUCCCAGGUUUAAUCGGUACAGUUAAAAAGUAAUUAAUUGUGAUCUGUUGAUUUUUUUAAAAUUGUUCUCACUUUAUAUUAAAAUUAGCAAUGCGAUUUAAGUGUACAGUAGUAGUUAGGUUUUAGUUUUUUGAUUACUAAUUCAUUGUCCUAUGACUUAAAGAAUAUAUGUAAAUAAGCGUUGAUUAUAAAUUUUUUUUUUUACAUUUUUUAAAAUAUUGCAAUAAAUGUAUUAAUGAAAUAUAUAGGGCCUAAUUUACAUUUACUUAUCACAAUAAUAUGAUACAGGAUUUUAAAAACUCCUUGUGGAAUUUAAUAAUAAAUGCACAAUAAUAAAUAAUAACAGAAUUGUCGUUCAUUUCAUUUGAUGAUACAGUAAGUGAAUCUGUGUAUUAGUUCUUAAAACCUCUCUCAACUAUUAAUAGAUAGGCAUAUUACAGCGGCUCUGAGGUACGAGAACAGUUGCACAGUUAAAGAGGUUCCUCAGAAAAAAAAAUUGAUAUGUUGUACAACUGAUUUCUAGACACAAAAAGCCUAUUUAAAAACUGGGGGAAAAGGGGCGUAACCACCCUUUAAAAAAAAUUGUUGUUUUAACCACCCUUUUCCACCUUAGCUUCCACACUAUAAACUCGGUCCAAUGCUUGAUUGGUUGUCGAAAACCGUCUACGCGAUCAGUUUUUUUAGCCAAUAACAAUUCAUGUUCGGUUUUUGGCUAAUGACGGUGAAUCCCAUGACUCAUGGUUCAAACUACUACGGUAUACUGUACUUUACACAAUACAUUAUACUACUACUGCAGAGGCCACUACCAGGAAUACUACUACUACGGUACCCUGUAUAGACAGUUCAGUUCCGUAUUCGGUGUGUUGACAUCCAUGGAAUUUUAACAGGAAAACGUCCAAAAUUCGAUAGUUAGAGAAAGACAGAAACUACAGUAGAACCCCUAUCAAGGGGACACCCUCGGGACCAAAAAGUGUCCCAUAGGGGUGUCCCCUAAAUAUGGGUACCUCUGAAUAUACUAACCAAACACGGGAAAUUGGCCCCUUAAUAGGGGUUUUUGGCAUGUUUUCGAAAAGGGGCGUAACCACCCUUUUCCAACUCGUCCAAUGCUUGAUAAUGCUUUUUAGGCAAUAAGAAUUCAUGUUUGGGUUUUGGCUAUAAUGACGGCGAGCUCCAUGACUCAUGGUUAAAUAUAGGCUACUCACUUAUACUACUCUGAACAUGGAGGAAUUACAGUAGUGUAAACUUAAUUCCUCUAUGCACUAUAUAGGCUCCUACCAGGAAUACCUGUUCUCCGUUGGUACCUUAUGCCAACGUGAUAU